Long non-coding RNA from Oncorhynchus keta (chum salmon), 1181 nucleotides. RefSeq lists it as uncharacterized. NCBI's taxonomy places the organism in Eukaryota, Metazoa, Chordata, Actinopteri, Salmoniformes, Salmonidae. The record is from RefSeq and is a predicted model, not a curated record. The transcript is spliced from 3 exons.
UUAACUGACUUGCCUACUUAAAUAAAGGUUACACAAGUAAUAAUAUGUUACAGCUUAUGUUACACAAACAAUGAAUUGAUUUCAUCUUCAUUCCUUAGGGAUCAAUCAGGCUGCAUUCAAGUACAAAUAUGUGACAACCACAACAUUGUGAGUGCCAAAAUGGCAAAGACCUUCUCAUAUCGAAGACAAGAUGUCGUUCAGGCCCUUCCUGUGAAGGACUUCAAAGAAUGAAUGGCCAGCCCUGUUUGAGCCCACUCAGGAAGCAAAUUUGGCAAAGAUUGGGUGUUCAUACCUCUGCCCUCUGUCUGAAGCAGUGUACUGUUCCAGUUGGAUUUUGACGAUAGCUUGGCGUGUCAUCUGAAGCGCUGUAAAGGAGGAACUCUGUAACUACAGAUUCAGGAACUUCUCCUUCUUUCUCUUGGAUACCUGAAAACGCCAAGGAGUGUGGAGAUGCAUCUCAGAUCUACCUGUCUGUCUCUCUCUUCUUCAACGGUCUCACUGCCUCCUUCACCUGUCUCAAGGCCUCCACGCUGGUUUUCUGAUGACAGACAGACAGCUACCUAGCCUAAACCCUGCCCCCUUCUGAAUCGGUAUCUCCCUGGAAUGUUCCAGAAUGCCUGAACUUAGCGCCUGCUGCUGUUUGUGUCAUCUUUAUCAAUCAAUAUGACUAUAUGAUUUAAGUAAUUAUAUUGAUAAUCUUGGCUGAUGGACUGAGAGGAAUAAGCUGUUGACUGAGUCCAUGUUUGAUGACUUUACAAUCACAGAGAGCUGUUGACUGACUCCAUGCUUGUUGACUUUACAAUCACAGAGAGAUGUUGACUGACUCCAUGCUUGUUGACUUUACAAUCACAGAGAGAUGUUGACUGACUCCAUGCUUGUUGACUUUACAAUCACAGAGAGAUGUUGACUGACUCCAUGCCUGUUGACUUUACAAUCACAGAGAGAUGUUGACUGACUCCAUGCUUGUUGACUUUACAAUCACAGAGAGAUGUUGACUGACUCCAUGCUUGUUGACUUUACAAUCACAGAGAGCUGUUGACUGACUCCAUGCUUGUUGACUUUACAAUCACAGAGAGAUGUUGACUGACUCCAUGCUUGUUGACUUUACAAUCACAGAGAGCUGUUGACUGACUCCAUGCUUGUUGACUUUACAAUCACAGAGAGAUGUUGACUGACUCCAU